AAUUGCUAAUGUCAAACGAAUAGUGUAUGUUUCAUCGGGGGCUGUCAUAACAAAAAUUCCUAUUUUCCAAAACCUGGACCCAUUAAUGAGUUAAGUUGGUCUAAUGGAGAUUUCUGCCUAAAAUAUAAGAGGUGGUAUUGCUACGCCAAGACAAUGGCAGAAAAGAAUGCAGUGGAAAUUGCAAAAAGAGAUGUGCUUGAUUUAAUUAGCAUUUGCCCUACUCAUGUUAUGGGAUCAUUGUCAGAGUCACCCACUAAUGCUAAUGUUGCAUAUAGAAUUUUUGGUACUAGGCCUAGAGUUUGUUUUCUUUAUAGUGAGUGAAAAUGAAAUAAAGUGGCGUAUCAGAGGAACGUAUUUUGUAGUUUGUGGACAUAGGUCACACAUAGUUGACCAUCAUAUAUACAUCUCUGACAUAGUUCUCACAUAA
Molecule: long non-coding RNA, 427 nt
Organism: Vicia villosa (hairy vetch)
Lineage: Eukaryota; Viridiplantae; Streptophyta; Magnoliopsida; Fabales; Fabaceae
Exons: 2
Source: RefSeq, a predicted model, not a curated record